AACGAACGCUGGCGGCAGGCCUAACACAUGCAAGUCGAGCGGGGACUUCGGUCCUAGCGGCGGACGGGUGAGUAACGCGUGGGAACGUGCCCUUUGCUUCGGAAUAGCCCCUGGAAACGGGGAGUAAUACCGGAUGUGCCCUUUGGGGGAAAGAUAUAUCGGCAAAGGAUCGGCCCGCGUUGGAUUAGGUAGUUGGUGGGGUAAUGGCCUACCAAGCCGACGAUCCAUAGCUGGUUUGAGAGGAUGAUCAGCCACACUGGGACUGAGACACGGCCCAGACUCCUACGGGAGGCAGCAGUGGGGAAUCUUAGACAAUGGGCGCAAGCCUGAUCUAGCCAUGCCGCGUGAGCGAUGAAGGCCUUAGGG
RNAcentral lists this ribosomal RNA (366 nucleotides) under uncultured bacterium. Its description in RNAcentral is "bacterial SSU rRNA". It matches the Rfam family "Bacterial small subunit ribosomal RNA", at positions 29 to 422 of the family's 1533-position model. The record is from RNAcentral.